AUUGAACGCUGGCGGCAGGCCUAACACAUGCCAGUCGAGCGGAUGAAGGGAGCUUGCUCCUGGAUUCAGCUGCGGACGGGUGAGUAAUGCCUAGGAAUCUGCCUGGUAGUGGGGGCUAACGUCCGGAAACGGGCGCUAAUACCGCAUACGUCCUGAGGGAGAAAGUGGGGGAUCUUCGGACCUCACGCUAUCAGAUGAGCCUAGGUCGGAUUAGCUAGUUGGUGGGGUAAAGGCCUACCAAGGCGACGAUCCGUAACUGGUCUGAGAGGAUGAUCAGUCACACUGGAACUGAGACACGGUCCAGACUCCUACGGGAGGCAGCAGUGGGGAAUAUUGGACAAUGGGCGAAAGCCUGAUCCAGCCAUGCCGCGUGUAUGAAGAAGGUCUUCGGAUUGUAAAGCACUUUAAGUUGGGAGGAAGGGCAGUAAGUUAAUACCUUGCUGUUUUGACGGUACCAACAGAAUAAGCACCGGCUAACUUCGUG
RNAcentral lists this ribosomal RNA (484 nucleotides) under uncultured bacterium. RNAcentral's name for it is "partial 16S ribosomal RNA". It matches the Rfam family "Bacterial small subunit ribosomal RNA", at positions 30 to 507 of the family's 1533-position model. The record is from RNAcentral.